This 275-nucleotide ribosomal RNA is filed under the name uncultured bacterium. RNAcentral describes it as "partial 16S ribosomal RNA". It matches the Rfam family "Bacterial small subunit ribosomal RNA", at positions 1217 to 1500 of the family's 1533-position model. The record is from RNAcentral.
CACACGUGUUACAAUGGGUGAUACAGAGGGCCGGCCGCUGGCAACAUCGGUCCAAUCCUUAAAGUCAUCCUCAGUUCGGACUGGGGUCUGCAACCCGACCCCACGAAGCUGGAUUCGCUAGUAAUCGCGCAUCAGCCAUGGCGCGGUGAAUACGUUCCCGGGCCUUGUACACACCGCCCGUCAAGCCAUGAAAGCCGGGGGCGCCUGAAGUCCGUGACCGCGAGGGUCGGCCUAGGGUGAAACCGGUGAUUGGGGCUAAGUCGUAACAAGGUACC